AUGGCACCAUCCACGAGUCUUGCAGUGAAAGGUCUGCUCCCCUUUGGAGCGCUCCCCUCGAGCAGCGUCGCGCAGAGGCCGGUGUCCGUGACCGCCUCACUGGAGCACAAGACGAGCGAUUAUAAGAGGAAGCUCCUAAAGCUUGCACUCGGAGGAGUCGGUCUGCCCGCCUUGUUGAGUGCCAAGAAGGCUUUCGCCGAUGACCAGGGCGUCUUUUCCUCUAGGAUGUCUUACUUGAGCUGGUUUCCUCCCUGGCCUUACUGCUGCUGCUGCUGGAUGCUUCCCCGUCCCCUUCACCUACAGUGCUAUAUUGCAUCACUGAUCUACACUGUUUGUUUGUCACCCAUUCAGCUUACUUAUUGGGGCAUCUUUCUUGUGUCGCUGUUGCAUCUGGCAGAGCUGCCGUUGAGGCCCCAAAAGGUAACCUUCAUCAGCCACAACCCCACAACAAUGGCUCAAGGUUCUGUGCCCCAUCACCCCUCUUUCUAA
Molecule: ribosomal RNA, 489 nt
Filed under: Triticum aestivum (bread wheat)
Lineage: Eukaryota; Viridiplantae; Streptophyta; Magnoliopsida; Poales; Poaceae
Description: partial small subunit ribosomal RNA
Source: RNAcentral